AGUGAACGUUGGCGGCGUGGAUUAGGCAUGCAAGUCGAGCGAGAACCGUAGCAAUACGGGGACAGCGGCGAAAGGGACAGUAAUGUGUAGGUACCUACCUCCGGGUUCGGGAUAGCUGCGGGAAACUGCAGGUAAUACCGAAUAACGUCUCCGGACCAAAGGUGUGAUUCCACCUGGAGAGGGGCCUGCAUCCUAUUAGCUUGUUGGCGGGGUAACGGGCCACCAAGGCGACGAUGGGUAGCGGGUGUGAGAGCACGACCCGCGUCAUUGGGACUGAGACACUGCCCAGACACCUACGGGUGGCUGCAGUCGAGGGUCUUCGGCAAUGGGCGCAAGCCUGACCGAGCGACGCCGCGUGCGGGAUGAAGGCCUUCGGGUUGUAAACCGCUGUCGUAGAGGAGGAAGUGCAGGGGGGUUCUCCCCUCUGUUUGACCUAUUCUAGGAGGAAGGACGGGCUAAGUUCGUGCCAGCCGCCGCGGUAA
RNAcentral lists this ribosomal RNA (482 nucleotides) under uncultured bacterium. RNAcentral describes it as "partial 16S ribosomal RNA". It matches the Rfam family "Bacterial small subunit ribosomal RNA", at positions 28 to 523 of the family's 1533-position model. The record is from RNAcentral.